Molecule: ribosomal RNA, 796 nt
Filed under: Lacticaseibacillus casei
Lineage: Bacteria; Bacillati; Bacillota; Bacilli; Lactobacillales; Lactobacillaceae
Description: Lactobacillus casei partial 23S ribosomal RNA
Rfam family: Bacterial large subunit ribosomal RNA
Source: RNAcentral
GCGGAACACGUGAAAUUCCGUCGGAAUCCGGGAGGACCAUCUCCCAAGGCUAAAUACUCCCUAGUGACCGAUAGUGAACCAGUACCGUGAGGGAAAGGUGAAAAGCACCCCGGAAGGGGAGUGAAACAGUUCCUGAAACCGUGUGCCUACAAUUAGUCAAAGCCCGUUAAGGGGUAAUGGCGUGCCUUUUGUAGAAUGAACCGGCGAGUUACGUUUGCCUGCGAGGUUAAGAUGAAAAGUCGGAGCCGGAGCGAAAGCGAGUCUGAACAGGGCGAAUGAGUAGGCAGAUGUAGACCCGAAACCAAGUGACCUACCCAUGACCAGGUUGAAGGUGUGGUGAAACACACUGGAGGACCGAACCCAUGUAUGUUGAAAAAUGCUGGGAUGAGUUGUGGGUAGCGGUGAAAUUCCAAACGAACUUGGAGAUAGCUGGUUCUCUCCGAAAUAGCUUUAGGGUUAGCCUCGGAGGAUGGAUCAUGGAGGUAGAGCACUGUUUGAACUAGGGGCCCAUCAAGGGUUACUGAAUUCAGAUAAACUCCGAAUACCAUCGAUCUUACUCCGGGAGUCAGACAGUGAGCGAUAAGGUCCAUUGUCGAAAGGGGAACAGCCCAGAUCACCAGUUAAGGUCCCUAAAUUUAUGCUAAGUGGAAAAGGAUGUGGCGUUGCACAGACAACUAGGAUGUUGGCUCAGAAGCAGCCACCAUUUAAAGAGUGCGUAAUAGCUCACUAGUCGAGUGGCACUGCGCCGAAAAUAUACCGGGGCUAAGCAUAAUACCGAAACUGUGGGUGCACCCGU